AGUCGACGAUGAAGAGAAUCCGAUCUCUUCGGAGUGAAGAAUCUCUGGAUUAGUGGCGGACGGGUGAGUAACGCGUGAGCAAUCUGCCUUACACAAAGGGAUAGCCUCGGGAAACCGGGAUUAAUACCACAUGAUAUCUAUUAACCGCAUGGUUUAUAGAUUAAAGAAUUUCGGUGUAAGAUGAGCUCGCGUCCCAUUAAUUAGUUGGUGAGGGUAACGGCCCACCAAGAUAGCGAUGGGUAGCCGAUCUAAGAGGAUGACCGGCCACAUUGGAACUGAGAAACGGUCCAAACUCCUACGGGAGGCAGCAGUGGGGAAUAUUGCACAAUGGGGGAAACCCUGAUGCAGCGACGCCGCGUGAGCGAUGAAGGCUUUCGAGUCGUAAAGCUCUGUCCUAUGGGAAGAUAAUGACGGUACCAUAGAAGAAAGCCCCGGCUAAUUACGUGCCAGCAGCCGCGGUAAUACGUAAGGGGCGAGCGUUGUCCGGAAUUAUUGGGCGUAAAGAGUGCGUAGGCGGCAAAUUAAGUCAGAUGUGAAAACUAAGGGCUCAACCCAUAGAUUGCAUCUGAAACUGAUAUGCUUGAGUCAAGGAGAGGAAAGUGGAAUUCCUAGUGUAGCGGUGGAAUGCGUAGAUAUUAGGAGGAAUACCGGUGGCGAAGGCGACUUUCUGGACUUGAACUGACGCUGAGGCACGAAAGCGUGGGGAGCAAACAGGAUUAGAUACCCUGGUAGUCCACGCCGUACACGAUGAGUGCUAGGUGUCUGCUCAUACGAGUAGGUGCCGUACGUUAACACAUUAAGCACUCCGCCUGGGGAGUACGUACGCAAGUAUGAAACU
This 838-nucleotide ribosomal RNA is filed under the name uncultured Eubacteriales bacterium. RNAcentral describes it as "bacterial SSU rRNA". It matches the Rfam family "Bacterial small subunit ribosomal RNA", at positions 60 to 901 of the family's 1533-position model. The record is from RNAcentral. Lineage: Bacteria; Bacillati; Bacillota; Clostridia; Eubacteriales.